Long non-coding RNA from Gopherus evgoodei (Goodes thornscrub tortoise), 2225 nucleotides. RefSeq lists it as uncharacterized. NCBI's taxonomy places the organism in Eukaryota, Metazoa, Chordata, Testudines, Testudinidae. The record is from RefSeq and is a predicted model, not a curated record. The transcript has 4 exons.
AUUGCAACAGCCUGGCCGGGAGGCAUUGGGUUUCAAGGCACAGCCUGCUCGGGAGUGUUCCGCUUUGCAAGGGAGCAAACUCCUUGGAGCCGCGGAAGCGAAAUAAGGCUCCGCUUUUCUGCGCCUGUGUGUUGCCGCGGUCUGUGCUUCCCUUUCUUUGCUGAAGGAACUUAGAAAGAUCUUUGGAAGACUCUGCUAGUGAUGGCCUAUGAGAAUAUAACCUGAGCUACAGCUCUCCUACCAUUUGGCUUUGCCAAGCUCCUCCAUCACAGCAAGCGAAUCCAAGGACUGGAUCAUUCUAACCGUGACAAGCAAGCCAGCAAGAAUGCUUCUUAAAACUCCAAUAUGACCCGUGUACAUCACACAGAAGCAGGAGAGGGCAGCAACAUUUAUUUUUUCGCCUUUGCCGGCCACCGUUGAGCAAAGAUUUGUCAGCGACCUCUGUUCAGAAAACAGUUUUAGCCUUUUUUGUUCACUUCUCUUGGAUUUAACAAGGCUUCCAAAUUCGUGCGUAGCCAACUCCUCACUGGAGCUGCCAGGAAAUGCAGCCAGAAACAAGUCUCUGUGGUAGGAGAGCCUUGAGUGUGCUGCUCCAGGAGCUGCUGGUGCUGCUCUGUGUGUCCGUGUCCAUGUCCCCUCUACUGCCUGCUGAAGUACUAAGGGAGAGCUGGCCAGGAUGCACCUGUGGAAAUACAGUUGGGGGCGUGGUGCAUGGCUGUGUUGUGAAAAUAUUGCUGUGUAGACGCAGCGCAGCCACGUUUGUUUCAGCUGGGUCAGGGAUGUUAGAAUGAAAACUUCCAGGAUCCUUGACCUUCAGAGCCUAUUUACUCAUUCUCCACCUGAAGACAUUGUUCUGUCUGGAAUGUUAGCUAUGGAAAUUAUGAUGCCACUAAUGGAGGAUUACACUUUUGGAUGGGGAAUAAGCUGAUUGGAUUUCUAGAGGCUGCGCCUGAAUUCAUCCCUGAAACUGCAGAGGGAAUCUGGCAUGUUUCUGUCUUGCCUGUGCAGCUUUUCAUAUCCUAGUAUCAGCAUGUACAACAACUUGCACUAUGCAUACACAAGUGCAUGGUGUCCAUGUGUCUGGCUGCAGUUUGUAUGGGCUAGGGUGAGUUUUCACGUGACCCCAAGCAUGGUUAUGCAAAAUCAGAAUGCAGAAUUGCAUUUGCAAUUCUAGCGGCUCAAAAGAGACCCCUUUUGGAAAUAUUACUCAGACUAAUGCGCUGUUAGCCUGUUUUCAUGCAAAUAUCCCUGUGUACAUAAAUGAGUGAAGAAAAAUACAGAACAUAUGGUCUAGUUGCAUCUCAACAGAAUGUUUUUUCCAAGCUUCCCACAAGUAGGCCUGCCCUGUGUUUUGAAAUACGUUCUGUUGUCAAACUGCCAUCCAAAAAUUAGAGAUGGAUCAGAACCGAAGCUCUGGAUCUCAGCAGCCUGGAGCUUUGGGGAACCUUGAAUCUGAAAUUCCUGAUUGCCCCCAAUCUCUGCAGUGGGCUAAAUCAGACCCCUGAGUUUGCAUAAUCUCAGAUUUCAGAGCAGUUUAGAUCCAGAUCUGAAUUCUGCAGCUUGAGCUCCUCUGUACUGGAAAAUACAGAAAGCAUUGAAAGAUUUUCUUCGUUGCUACAGGGAGCUGCCGAAUUCUGCCCACGAAUUCAGCUGCUAUGCACAUGGAACAUCAGGAUGAAUGGACAGUUUGGGGUCCUUUAAGCAACUGGUCUGGGGGAAGCAUCCAUCUGUAAUAAGCCCUUGGUUCCCAGUUCUCCUGUUUGAUUUCCAUAUGCCCUUCUCCUGCCCUAAUUUUGCGCCUCCUAAGGGUGGGAGGUGUCUCCAACUCUGCAGCUGAUACUUACUGAGCCUUUUUUUAGCUUCCUUGUGAUGGGAUCCCCCUGGGGCGCAGCCUGGGACUGUGGGACCACUGUGUGCCCUUAACUUCCCAGUCUGGGCUGUCUCUCGCAAUGCUUUGCUAGGGUCCAGUAGAAAACCCCUCUAGGCAUUAUCACUCAGCCAACUGCAUGUGGAGCCCCACACCGACCUAGAUUGCAUGCAAUGCUCCCAGAGCCGCUCAUAAAUCACACAGAGAAAGGCACCAGAGCCAAAUCCUCCUAGCUCCCAGCACUGUACCCCAGGAAUAUACCGUCUUGCACUGCUUAAGAUGAGCAAUGCAGACUUAUUUAUUGGUUCACCGCUUCAUCACUGGAAAGUGGAUAUCAUAGAAUAUCAGGGUUGGAAGG